GCCAGGUGAGAAGGGCCUGGGAUUCCUUUAUGAGGUGCAACCAAAACAGUUGUUUGACAUGGCAACAGGGAUAUUCUGGCAGGCAGUCGAGAAUUAGUUAUAGAAUACUGUUGUGGUUUUGAUCACUAAUAUGGCUUUUGGACGCUCUUUGAGUGUUUCUUGGAUUUGUUGCCUGCUAAUUGGAGGGAUAACAUGUUUUACACUUAAAGGUAACCCUCAUGGGCAUCCUGCCUACACUGGACCUGAACCAACUGGAUCCUAUGCCCAAGCAAGUGUGGUGUCUGGCCUCAGCAGAAGCGACAGGCCCCGGCGCCUCAGCAGAAGCGACAGGCCCCGGCGCCUCAGCAGAAGCGACAGGCCUUGAACAGACCACUCAACUAGGGAGAUCAUAAUUUGGUUUGACCAACUCCUUAAUCGUCUUAACCCUGUUACUGUGCCUAUUGCAGAAAGGGGUAAAGGUAACUGAGGUGGGGAAAUGUGCGAACUAAUGCGCUUGUUUGAAAUGAGGAUCUCCUUCACUUGUACAUCGUCAUGCAAAUUGUAUACAGGGGUGGAUGAUACAAUGUUAUGAAUUGUUUUUAUAAACAUAUGACUAAAUUGACUUCUGAUGUAGCGAUAUUGCUGACACACUUUUAGGUUCUACGGUUAUGCUUUUGAUUUAGCCUGGUGUUCCUGCUACUCUUGCAUGAUUUGCUCAAUAAACCAUUUGACUUUCAAAAAA
This is a long non-coding RNA of Oncorhynchus gorbuscha (pink salmon), 721 nucleotides long. RefSeq lists it as uncharacterized. The transcript is spliced from 4 exons. The record is from RefSeq and is a predicted model, not a curated record. Lineage: Eukaryota; Metazoa; Chordata; Actinopteri; Salmoniformes; Salmonidae.